This 254-nucleotide ribosomal RNA is filed under the name uncultured prokaryote. RNAcentral describes it as "partial 16S ribosomal RNA". It matches the Rfam family "Bacterial small subunit ribosomal RNA", at positions 524 to 777 of the family's 1533-position model. The record is from RNAcentral.
UACGGAGGAUGCGAGCGUUAUCCGGAUUUAUUGGGUUUAAAGGGUGCGUAGGCGGCUUAGUAAGUCAGCGGUGAAAUUUUGCAGCUUAACUGUAACAGUGCCGUUGAUACUGCCAGGCUAGGAUUUGGUUGCUGUGGGUGGAAUGUGUGGUGUAGCGGUGAAAUGCUUAGAUAUCACACAGAAUAUCAAUUGCGAAGGCAGCUCACAAAGCCAAGAUUGACGCUGAGGCACGAAAGUGUGGGGAUCAAACAGGA